This 1896-nucleotide ribosomal RNA is filed under the name Raperostelium gracile. RNAcentral describes it as "bacterial SSU rRNA". It matches the Rfam family "Eukaryotic small subunit ribosomal RNA". The record is from RNAcentral. Lineage: Eukaryota; Evosea; Eumycetozoa; Dictyosteliales; Raperosteliaceae.
AACCUGGUUGAUCCUGCCAGUAGUCAUAUGCUUGUCUCAAAGAUUAAGCCAUGCAUGUCUAAGUAUAAAUUUUUAUAUGAUGAAACUGCAGACGGCUCAUUACAACAGUAAUAAACUAAUAGACUUUCGGGUUUUAUUACCUUUUGGAUAACCGCAGUAAAUCGGGGCUAAUACAUACAAUCGAGGGGUGACUGUUUACGGAAUCCCCGCGAUUAUUAGCUUUUCAACCAAUACUCCUUUUGGAGUUUUGUGGUGAAACCGAAUAAUAUUGCAGAUCGAAGCUUAGGCAUCGACAAGUCUACUGUGUUACUGCCCUAUCAACUUUCGAUGGUACGGUAUUGGCCUACCAUGGUUGUAACGGGUAACGGGGAAUUAGGGUUCGAUUCCGGAGAGGGCGCCUGAGAAAUGGCGACCACUUCUACGGAAGGCAGCAGGCGCGCAAAUUACUCAAUCCCAAUACGGGGAAGUAGUGACAAGAAAUAUUAAUGCCUAUCCUUUUAGGAAGGUAAUUAAAAUGGGUCUAAACUAAAUCCAUUUUCUAAUACAAUUGGAGGGCAAGUCUGGUGCCAGCAGCCGCGGUAAUUCCAGCUCCAAUAGCAUAUACUAAAUUUGUUGCGGUUAAAAAGCUCGUAGUUGAAAUUAAAAUUAUAUUGGGCUAAAUAGGUUUUAGCCGAUUUUUCAUCGGUUUAAAACUUCCAAUAUAUAUUUUUUAAAUUUUGGCUCAUGAAUUUGGUUACUUUUGUAAUUCAAGUUCUUUUUGGGUUCUUCACUGUGAGAAAAUUGUGGUGCUUAAAGCAGGCGUUUUCGCUUGAUCUUUUGCAGCAUGGGAUGAUAGAACAUGACAUUUUGCGCUAUUGGUUGCGUUAAAGUGUAAUGAUUAAUAGGGAUGGAUGGGGGUGUUCAUAUUGGUGGGCGAGAGGUGAAAUUCGUUGACCCUAUCAAGAUGAACUUCUGCGAAAGCAUUCACCAAAUACUUCCCCAUUAAUCAAGAACGAAAGUUUGGGGAUCAAAGACGAUCAGAUACCGUCGUAGUCCAAACUAUAAACUAUGUCGACCAGGGAUCAGCUAAAAUUUCUAAAAAAUUUAGUUGGCACCUUGUGAGAAAUCACGAGUGUUUAGAUUCUGGGGGGAGUAUGGUCGCAAGUCUGAAACUUAAAGGAAUUGACGGAAGGGCACACAAUGGAGUGGAGCCUGCGGCUUAAUUUGACUCAACUCGGGAAAACUUACCAAGCUAAGAUAUAAUAAGGAUUGACAGACUAAAAGAUCUUUCAUGAUUGUAUAAGUGGUGGUGCAUGGUCGUUCUUAGUUGGUGGAGCAAUCUGUCUGGUCAAUUCCGAUAACGGACGAGAUCUCGACCUGCUAACUAGUAGUACUUAUCAGCUCAAUAUGCACGAAAGCUUUGUUGGAGUAAGUUGUAGGUCGAAAGGUUUACAACACUUCGCUUGGUCGGUAGUGUGAAUUGAUAAGUACGCUUAAAUAAAACUUCUUAGAGGGACUACCUGUGGCAAACAGGGGGAAGUUCGAGGCAAUAACAGGUCUGUGAUGCCCUUAGAUACCUUGGGCCGCACGCGCGCUACAAUGUAGUACGCAAAAAGCAAUCCUGGUCCGGAAGGACUGGGUAAUCAUAAAUUUACUACGUAACUGGGAUUGAUCUUUGUAAUUAUUGAUCAUCAACGAGGAAUUCCUUGUAAGCGCAAAUCAUUACUUUGUGCUGAAUAUGUCCCUGCCCUUUGUACACACCGCCCGUCGCUCCUACCGAUCGAAUGAUACGGUAAAGCCAACAGAUUAAUGUAUUAUGGGCAACCAUUUUACGUUGAAAAGUUGUUUAAAUCUCAUUGUUUAGAGGAAGGAGAAGUCGUAACAAGGUAUCCGUAGGUGAACCUGCAGAAGGAUCAA